Long non-coding RNA from Chelonia mydas (Green sea turtle), 2330 nucleotides. RefSeq lists it as uncharacterized. Lineage: Eukaryota; Metazoa; Chordata; Testudines; Cheloniidae. The transcript is spliced from 2 exons. The record is from RefSeq and is a predicted model, not a curated record.
AAUAAAUAAAUACUAAGAUAAACUUAUUUUGAAUAUGAUAGGCAAAGUUGUUUGGCUACCCUCCAUCCCCAUUUUGUGUCUGUAUUGUAUUUUUUCUUCUCUCUGUGUUUAGGACAAUACGGGUAUUGGGAGUGAAUCUCCCCUCACUGCAUUUAGUACCCCUUGUUCUAAUCUUGUUGGCACCCACUUUGCAGUUGGCUUCCAUCUUUGCAAAUUGAUGAAUUUCAUUCACCCGUUUGACCAAAGUUUGAAUGUACAUUAAAAAAAAUACCACCAAUAAAGACAUGAAGUAGCCAUAUGAGGCGCACAAAGCGGCUAGGAUUUUUGGAAUUCUGUUCAUCAAUCAAGCUUCUGGAAACUUUUAAGAGUCCUAGACUGUGCUAAUAAUAGCUGCAAACAUCAUGUACUUCACCACUGUGACAGAAGCAGCUCCACAGACCACCUGAAAGCACUUUAUAAACCACAGAUCGAGAACCACUGGGGAAGGGGAAGAGUGAAUUUUUCACCUUUGCUGCUGCUGUUGUUUUGCUGGAGAUAGUUCUCUACAACAUUGGAUUAACAGGGCAGCAACAAAUCUGUUUACAUUGUGAUGAUUAGGAUCAAAAUAGAAAAGAGAAACUUAUUUUUCUCAUCUAAAAUGAACGCUUAGAAUUUCCAGACUAUUGUCCAAUGCUCCGGAAAUUGCAGGCCGUGAAAAAGGCAGAGGAUCUCUUACAGCAUUUUCAUUACAUUUAUUUAAUUCCUGUUCCUCAUGUAAGUGAUUUGUCUUUGUUUGGGGUGGAUAGAAAAGAAUUUUGCUCUGUGGUUCGGUGAGGCUUUUACAAUCAUUCACUGUUCAGACCGGGCUAGGCAGAGAGAUGGUAUAAUGAUUUCACAAAGAGGGUAGGGUUUCGUUUGAUUGAUCAGACCGUAUCAGAUGCCUGUUGAGUAUGAUCCAUCACUUAUAAUACUAUUUUCCCCAAACCACACAAAGGCACUUGUGCUCAAAAUUUGGAAAAUUGUGGAUUGAUCGAAAUCUUUGGUUAUAAUGGAUAACGUUUGCAACUUUAACUAUAGUACACCCAUUUUAUUGUCUCAUUACAGUUAAAUAAGAGCUGGCUUUCUGCUUGGUUGAAAUGUAGUGGACAAAUGUGCCAGGUACUUGCAGCCGCUAACAAAAUUAAGUUGCUACUCCUCGAGCAUUUUCCUUCUAUCUUUACACUUGUGCUACAGCCACAACUCUUAACCUGAAUUUACUGCAAUGUGUUAAUUUUAUAUUCUCCUCGUGUUAGUCUCCGCAAACUUUCCAACAUAUCACAAUAUCUUUUUUCAGUGAUGUGCAUAUAACUUUUGCAAAUGCUCAAAUUAGAUUUACUGGUUGUGAUGCUUUGCCUGUUAGUGUCUGUUUACAUAUGUCAAGCCCGUACACCAAACAAUACCCAGAUGUUAAGACAGAAGAGGAGAUAGAAUGUCAGAGGGAUAUUGGGGCAAAAAGCAAAAGCAGCAGUCAAGGCUAAUUCAGGAUUGCACCAUAUCAAGAGGGUAAAACCAGCCCUGAUUAUACUUGGAUGAGAAAAGGCAGACAGAGGACUUGGCAUCGACUUUGAAGUGUGACUGACGAGAAGCUGAAUGAGAUGAUACCCAUGUGGUAGAACCCUGAGUGUCAGGUUAAAGAUAACAUGUUCCUGAGUCUCCGGUGGUAUGGUAAUGGUAGGUACUAAUAAUUGGGGAAGCACUUCUAAGAACUGUCAGCCCAUAAAAAGGUAAAUUAAAACACUUCUAAACAGUAUUUGAAAUGAGUAAUUAGUGGGAUGACCUGGGUUGCAGGAGAUAAAACUCUCAUAGAUGAUGUCAUGGAGUGAGGGGGAGUCAGGACCCUGCACCCCCACUUCCUGCAAUUCACCGUGACUCUUAGCCAGCCAGUAACACAGAAGGUUUAUUAGAGACGACAGGAACACAGUCCAAACCUGAGCUUGUAGGCACAGACAGGACCCCACAGUCAGGACCUUCUGGUGGGGGCGGGGAGAUUAAAACCCCAGACCUGGGGCUCCCUCCUCUUCCCCAGCCAACUCCAAACUGAAACCCACACCAGCCAUCUCACCCAGCCUCCCCCCAGCUCCUCCUCCAGCCUUUGUCCAGUUUCCCGGGCAGGAGGUGUCACUGGGCCCCAACCCCCUGGCUCAGGUAUCUUCCCUCAAGGGAAGUCUCCCAUCCCCAAUGCAGACAGUCCCUGUGAAACUCUCCUCGCUGUGCUGCGGUGAUCCAGGUGCCAACGUGUCAUUGCAUCUAUGUUCCAUGAAAAAUGUGCAGCUGUAACAAAACCAUCUUCUGUGGUUUUCCAUAUUAAACAU